This 484-nucleotide ribosomal RNA is filed under the name uncultured bacterium. RNAcentral's name for it is "partial 16S ribosomal RNA". It matches the Rfam family "Bacterial small subunit ribosomal RNA", at positions 30 to 507 of the family's 1533-position model. The record is from RNAcentral.
AUUGAACGCUGGCGGCAGGCCUAACACAUGCAAGUCGAGCGGAUGAAGGGAGCUUGCUCCUGGAUUCAGCGGCGGACGGGUGAGUAAUGCCUAGGAAUCUGCCUGGUAGUGGGGGAUAACGUCCGGAAACGGGCGCUAAUACCGCAUGCGUCCUGAGGGAGAAAGUGGGGGAUCUUCGGACCUCACGCUAUCAGAUGAGCCUAGGUCGGAUUAGCUAGUUGGUGGGGUAAAGGCCUACCAAGGCGACGAUCCGUAACUGGUCUGAGAGGAUGAUCAGUCACACUGGAACUGUGACACGGUCCAGACUCCUACGGGAGGCAGCAGUGGGGAAUAUUGGACAAUGGGCGAAAGCCUGAUCCAGCCAUGCCGCGUGUGUGAAGAAGGUCUUCGGAUUGUAAAGCACUUUAAGUUGGGAGGAAGGGCAGUAAGUUAAUACCUUGCUGUUUUGACGUUACCAACAGAAUAAGCACCGGCUAACUUCGUG